AUGCUUGCUUCAGUAGCAUAUAUACUAAUAUUGGAAUGAUACAGAGGAUUAGCAUGGCCCCUAAGCAAGGAUGAUAUGCAAAGGACUCUGGGAGCGGAGACUAAAUAAAU
Small nuclear RNA from Apodemus sylvaticus (European woodmouse), 110 nucleotides. Lineage: Eukaryota; Metazoa; Chordata; Mammalia; Rodentia; Muridae. The record is from RefSeq and is a predicted model, not a curated record.